UUUCCGUAGGUGAACCUGCGGAAGGAUCAUUACCGAGUGAGGGCCCUCUGGGUCCAACCUCCCACCCGUGUUGCACGAACCUGUGUUGCUUCGGCGGGCCCGCCGCCAGGCCGCCGGGGGGCAACAGCCCCCGGGCCCGCGCCCGCCGAAGCCCCCCUCUGAACGCUGUCUGAAGUUGCAGUCUGAGACAACUAGCUAAAUUAGUUAAAACUUUCAACAACGGAUCUCUUGGUUCCGGCAUCGAUGAAGAACGCAGCGAAAUGCGAUAACUAAUGUGAAUUGCAGAAUUCAGUGAAUCAUCGAGUCUUUGAACGCACAUUGCGCCCUCUGGUAUUCCGGAGGGCAUGCCUGUCCGAGCGUCAUUGCUGCCCUCAAGCACGGCUUGUGUGUUGGGCCCCGUCCCCCCCGCUCCGGGGAGGACGGGCCCGAAAGGCAGCGGCGGCACCGCGUCCGGUCCUCGAGCGUAUGGGGCUUCGUCACCCGCUCUUGUAGGCCCGGCCGGCGCCAGCCGACCCCCAACCUUUUAUUUUUUCUCAGGUGACCUCGGAUCAGGAGGUGCACAU
This 563-nucleotide small RNA is filed under the name Penicillium sp. AH_3_3_1. Its description in RNAcentral is "eukaryotic LSU rRNA". The stretch from base 209 to 362 matches the Rfam family "5.8S ribosomal RNA". Lineage: Eukaryota; Fungi; Ascomycota; Eurotiomycetes; Eurotiales; Aspergillaceae. The record is from RNAcentral.